This 492-nucleotide ribosomal RNA is filed under the name uncultured bacterium. RNAcentral's name for it is "partial 16S ribosomal RNA". It matches the Rfam family "Bacterial small subunit ribosomal RNA", at positions 28 to 507 of the family's 1533-position model. The record is from RNAcentral.
GAUGAACGCUGGCGGUGUGCCUAAUACAUGCAAGUCGAGCGGACAGACGAUGAGCUCUUGCCUCUGCGGUUAGCGGCGGACGGGCGAGUAACACGUGGAUAGCCAACCUCUUUUACUGGGAUAAUUACGGGGAACCGCUGCCACUACUGGCGAAUAUAACGUACGGCAUAGUUCAAUAGUGCAUGGCGCCUUUGGCGUUUGUUAUAGCCGAUGCCGGAUUAGCUAGUUGGCGAGGUAACGGCACACCAAGGCAACGAUGCGUAGCUGGUCUGAGAGGAUGAUCAGCCACACUGGAACUGAGACACGGUCCAGACUCCUACGGGAGGCAGCAGUGGGGAAUCUUCCACAAUGGGCGAAAGCCUGACCCAGCAACGCCGCGUGAGUGAUGAAGGUCUUCGGGUCGUAAAGCUCUGUUGUUAGGAAAGAAAAGAUGCGUAAGUAAAUAUGCACGUCUUGACGGUACCCAAACAGAAAGCACCGGCUAACUACGUG